GACAGAGGGUGCAAACGUUGUUCGGAUUUACUGGGCGUAAAGCGCGUGUAGGCGGCUUUGCAAGUCGGAUGUGAAAGCCCACGGCUCAACCGUGGAAGUGCAUCCGAAACUGCAUGGCUCGAGUCUCGGAGAGGAAGGUGGAAUGCUUGGUGUAGAGGUGAAAUUCGUAGAUAUCAAGCAGAACACCUGCGGCGGAGGCGGCCUUCUGGACGAUGACUGACGCUGAGACGCGAAAGCGUGGGGAGCAAACAGG
RNAcentral lists this ribosomal RNA (253 nucleotides) under uncultured bacterium. RNAcentral describes it as "partial 16S ribosomal RNA". It matches the Rfam family "Bacterial small subunit ribosomal RNA", at positions 524 to 776 of the family's 1533-position model. The record is from RNAcentral.